Molecule: ribosomal RNA, 477 nt
Filed under: uncultured Planctomycetales bacterium
Lineage: Bacteria; Pseudomonadati; Planctomycetota; Planctomycetia; Planctomycetales
Description: bacterial SSU rRNA
Rfam family: Bacterial small subunit ribosomal RNA
Source: RNAcentral
UUCGCAAUGCCCGAAAGGGUGACGAUGCGACGCCGCGUGAGCGAUGAAGGCCUUCGGGUUGUAAAGCCCUGUCAGGAGUUAAGAAAUGUAGACUCGCUAAUAUCGGGUCUAUUUGACAAAGGCUCCAAAGGAAGCCACGGCUAACUCUGUGCCAGCAGCCGCGGUAAUACAGAGGUGGCAAGCGUUGUUCGGAAUUAUUGGGCGUAAAGAGCACGUAGGUGGAUUUGUAAGUCAGACGUGAAAGCCUUCUGUUCAACGGAAGAAUUGCAUCUGAAACUACAAACCUUGAGUGUAGGAGGGGAGAAUGGAACUUCUGGUGGAGCGGUGAAAUGCGUAGAUACCAGAAGGAACGCCGGCGGCGAAAGCGAUUCUCUGGCCUAUUACUGACACUCAGUGUGCGAAAGCUAGGGGAGCAAACGGGAUUAGAUACCCCGGUAGUCCUAGCCGUAAACGAUGGGCACUAAGUAGAGGGGUUUU